RNAcentral lists this ribosomal RNA (253 nucleotides) under uncultured bacterium. RNAcentral describes it as "partial 16S ribosomal RNA". It matches the Rfam family "Bacterial small subunit ribosomal RNA", at positions 524 to 776 of the family's 1533-position model. The record is from RNAcentral.
UACGUAGGGCGCAAGCGUUGUCCGGAAUUAUUGGGCGUAAAGAGCUCGUAGGCGGCCAGUUGCGUCCGCUGUGAAAUCCCGGGGCUUAACCCCGGGCGUGCAGUGGAUACGGGCUGGCUGGAGGCAGGCAGGGGAGAACGGAAUUCCUGGUGUAGCGGUGAAAUGCGCAGAUAUCAGGAGGAACACCGGUGGCGAAGGCGGUUCUCUGGGCCUGUACUGACGCUGAGGAGCGAAAGCGUGGGGAGCGAACAGG